This 253-nucleotide ribosomal RNA is filed under the name uncultured bacterium. RNAcentral describes it as "partial 16S ribosomal RNA". It matches the Rfam family "Bacterial small subunit ribosomal RNA", at positions 524 to 776 of the family's 1533-position model. The record is from RNAcentral.
UACGUAGGGUGCAAGCGUUACUCGGAAUUACUGGGCGUAAAGCGUGCGUAGGUGGUGAGUUAAGUCUGUCGUGAAAGCCCCGGGCUCAACCUGGGAAUGGCGAUGGAUACUGGCUCGCUAGAGUGCGGUAGAGGAGAGUGGAAUUCCCGGUGUAGCAGUGAAAUGCGUAGAGAUCGGGAGGAACAUCAGUUGCGAAGGCGGCUCUCUGGACCAGCACUGACACAGAGGCACGAAAGCGUGGGGAGCAAACAGG